GGAGAGGUGGCCGAGCGGUCGAAGGCGCACGCCUGGAAAGCGUGUAAAUCUGAAAGGGUUUCGUGGGUUCGAAUCCCACCCUCUCCG
Molecule: transfer RNA, 87 nt
Filed under: Archangium sp.
Lineage: Bacteria; Pseudomonadati; Myxococcota; Myxococcia; Myxococcales; Archangiaceae
Also listed under: 3 other names
Description: tRNA-Ser
Rfam family: tRNA
About the family: Transfer RNA (tRNA) molecules are approximately 80 nucleotides in length. Their secondary structure includes four short double-helical elements and three loops (D, anti-codon, and T loops).
Source: RNAcentral